This is a long non-coding RNA of Girardinichthys multiradiatus, 472 nucleotides long. RefSeq lists it as uncharacterized. The record is from RefSeq and is a predicted model, not a curated record. Lineage: Eukaryota; Metazoa; Chordata; Actinopteri; Cyprinodontiformes; Goodeidae. The transcript has 2 exons.
UUUGUACUAGGAGCAUUGAAGCAGGAGGCUGCCAGCACUUCACCUGAGUGUUAGCCAACACUGAUUUUAGGGCCUGGCUUCGUUUCUAGUGAGUUUCCUGACUCUUGGACAAAGAGUCUUCUGGAUCAAGGUUCAAGUCUCCAGUGACCCUCUUCGUACAAACUUCAAGCUGGCAGCUUCCUUACUCCACGAUCAGCCGGACCAAGACAUAAGCGAACCCUGUUCACUCUCCAACCUGUUCUCAUGCAAGUAGCUCCACCUGGCGCUCCACACCACCGUCUUACACAUCUCUGACUGAGUUGAACAGGACUCCCCAGGAACCUCCCCUCCUAAGUCAUCUCCAGUCCUGAGCUCCCAGACUCCACAAGUCUGUUUCCCCCUGGCGGCUCAGUCAUCUCCUUCAUUGGUGAUCUCCGGCUCUGGUUCUCUCGCCAUUACUUCCCACCUGUGAAAAUAAACCUUUUAAAAUCUG